This 93-nucleotide non-coding RNA is filed under the name Heterosigma akashiwo. The record is from RNAcentral. Lineage: Eukaryota; Raphidophyceae; Chattonellales; Chattonellaceae.
AAAGUAGAUAAAAUAGUUCAGAUAUGCUAAUGCUACCACCUCUGCUCAUUUCAUUUUCAUGUUUGUUUGUUUUUUUCCUUUCUUUUUUAUAUU